Long non-coding RNA from Anoplophora glabripennis (Asian longhorned beetle), 788 nucleotides. RefSeq lists it as uncharacterized. The record is from RefSeq and is a predicted model, not a curated record. The transcript is spliced from 4 exons. Lineage: Eukaryota; Metazoa; Arthropoda; Insecta; Coleoptera; Cerambycidae.
UAUGAGCAACGUGACAUCACUUCCGGCCUGAUAGGUUUUUAUGAUUGGUGGCUGACAGCCUGCUGGAUGACGAUUGGACCCUGACAGAUUUAUUUAGUUAACCAUUGGUUCUUAUCAAAUUUGCCGCAAAAUAUUCGUAAAUCGGAAACAGCGCGAUCCAGAAUUUCUGUCAUCUGUCGGAAAUAUGUCGGUUUUGUUUUGGUGUGAAUUUUAGGAUAUUUAUAAUUACCACGUUCAUCAGCGAUUAGAUUAAAAUAGAAAAGAAGUGGAAUAUGGUACACUGUUUUGUAUCACGGCUACCCAAGGGUGUGAAGUAGAAUUGGAAUGUAAGCAGUGCAAUGUCCAGCCUCGCUUCCGACCUUUGGUUCUUGACAAUUCAUUAGACAAUAAUUAGUUCCAGACAAAUUGUUUAUCAUCACAUAGCUGGAGUAGUUUUCCAGGAGUAGUACAGCGAUUAGUUUCUAUCAUCUGACUUAAAUUUAUUUUACUGUGAUGGCAAGAAUGCAAAUUAUAAGGUUGGCUCGAGUUGUAAUCUAGACAAAAAUUCUCUAAGACAGACAGUUAUUGAUACAUAUGCUAUAUGAACUUGCAAUUCAAGGCUGUUCUAAAAAAUAUUUACAGAGUAAUGCUGGAAAGAAUACCAUAAAGUUGGAAGACCUAACGAGAAGACUAACAUAGUUAAUAUUUUGAUACUGUUUUCAAGUGCAAUAUUUAAGAGAAGCAAAAUAUGAAGAAUUAUUAGCAGGAAACUGAAAAAUUCAAGAAAGAACAUGUUCACUGAAUGAUAA